GUCCCCAUCGUCCAGAGGCCUAGGACGGCGGGUUUUCAGUCCGCUAACUGGGGUUCGAAUCCCCAUGGGGAUA
RNAcentral lists this transfer RNA (73 nucleotides) under Fibrobacterota bacterium. RNAcentral's name for it is "Fibrobacteres bacterium tRNA-Glu". It matches the Rfam family "tRNA". From Rfam's summary of the family: Transfer RNA (tRNA) molecules are approximately 80 nucleotides in length. RNAcentral also lists the same sequence under 1 other name. Lineage: Bacteria; Pseudomonadati; Fibrobacterota. The record is from RNAcentral.